CUUGCAUUUCGGGGAAAGACCCUAAAAUUUGUCCGUAUCAUCAAAAGUCUAGUCACUCGUCAGUGAGCAAGUUAGAAAGCAAGUCCUGUUUUUUUAGGUGACUUGACCAUAAUUUAGUUGACUUAGACAUGUAGUUAGUCAUCUAGUCGAACACAUGUGAAUACUAAAUGAAUUUAGUAUAAAUAAUUAUUUUUGCCUCUAAAUAUAUAAAAUUUUGAUAAAUUUAUUUUCAAAAGAUAAAAAUUUUAAUUUGUAAAUAAUUACUUACUCUGCGGGUCUUUAAACUAAUACAAAAUUUAUAAUUAGGCCAUUAAACUUUUUUUUUGUUUUUAAUUAAAUUCCUGAAUUUGUAUUUAUUUUUUUAUUUAGUUCCGUGUUGGAUCUUUACUAAGAAAACAAAUACAAGUUGUACAACCCAAUUGAAUAAAAACAAAAUUCAGACACACUUAGUUAAAAACAAUAAACAGUACGUUCAGGGACUAAUUAAAAUAAAACUAGUGACUUUUUUGCAGCACACUUCAUUGAUUUGAGACUAUAAAUACAUGAUAACAUGCUUAAUAGUUUAUAUCCAUCCAAAAGGAAAAUUGAAAUACAUCUACUAAGCAUUAGAUAUAUAUCCCGAAACGAUGAAGGCUAUUAUUGUUUUCUUCUUACUCUUGGCCUCUGUUUUUUUCCUUCCCAGUUCAACUCUAGCUCGACAACUACUGCAGAAAGGAGGGGUGACUGGAUGUACAACGAACCCGAAUAUACCUUGCUAUCCGCCACCAAAACGAGCAUGUCCUAUAUAUAUUCGUAAUUGCUGACGAAAAUUAUAUGUUUCUGGACUCUAAAGUUUCACUCAAAUCGAGGGGAGAAGCAAUUAAUGUCAUGCUGCUAUAUAUAUAUAUAUAUAGUUUUUAUUUGGUGCCUCAUCUUUUUAACACUAUUCCUGUGUUAAAACUCGGUGGUGUCACAUCUUUGCUUUAAAAUUCCGUGUUCUUUUCCAGUUUGCAGUUGCAAUAAUCUUCUAAUGUUGUACUGAGGCAAAGGCUUGCCCUUUUAGCCACUCAAUAAAUAUGAGAACUUCAUUACGUA
Glycine soja is the source of this 1074-nucleotide long non-coding RNA. RefSeq lists it as uncharacterized. Lineage: Eukaryota; Viridiplantae; Streptophyta; Magnoliopsida; Fabales; Fabaceae. The record is from RefSeq and is a predicted model, not a curated record. The transcript has 2 exons.